GGCGCCACUCGAUUUUGGAUAAGGAUGAAGCCUUUUUCUCAUCCUUAUUUGAUUUCUUUUGGGUGUGAGAUGGUGGGAAGGGCAUGGGAAAUUGUGGAGAGGCAUGAGAUGGUCCUUGGGAGGCCACGAGAUGGUGUGGAAUGCAUCUGAAUGCCACUUAUAAAUAGAUGGCAUGCUCGGGAUUUCUUAUUCAUCCCAUUCUCUUCUUUCUUACAACCUUUCCACUAUUGUCCCAAUAGUUCUCUUCCUUCCCUUGUUAAGACAAGGUCCUCUUAAGGAUAAAAGGUCUGCUUUAGGAUAAGGGCUUAGAAAGAGAAUGAGGCA
Molecule: long non-coding RNA, 324 nt
Filed under: Elaeis guineensis (African oil palm)
Lineage: Eukaryota; Viridiplantae; Streptophyta; Magnoliopsida; Arecales; Arecaceae
Description: long non-coding RNA (EGUI_LNC009143)
Source: RNAcentral